RNAcentral lists this ribosomal RNA (468 nucleotides) under uncultured bacterium. RNAcentral's name for it is "partial 16S ribosomal RNA". It matches the Rfam family "Bacterial small subunit ribosomal RNA", at positions 28 to 507 of the family's 1533-position model. The record is from RNAcentral.
GACGAACGCUGGCGGCGUGCUUAACACAUGCAAGUCGAACGGAAAGGCCCUAGUUUUGUGGGGUGCUCGAGUGGCGAACGGGUGAGUAACACGUGAGUAACCUGCCCUUGACUUUGGGAUAACUUCAGGAAACUGGGGCUAAUACCGGAUAGGAGCUCCUGCUGCAUGGGGGGGGUUGGAAAGUUUCGGCGGUUGGGGAUGGGCUCGCGGCUUAUCAGCUUGUUGGUGGGGUAGUGGCUUACCAAGGCUUUGACGGGUAGCCGGCCUGAGAGGGUGACCGGCCACAUUGGGACUGAGAUACGGCCCAGACUCCUACGGGAGGCAGCAGUGGGGAAUAUUGCACAAUGGGCGGAAGCCUGAUGCAGCAACGCCGCGUGCGGGAUGACGGCCUUCGGGUUGUAAACCGCUUUCGCCUGUGACGAAGCGUGAGUGACGGUAAUUGGUAAAGAAGCACCGGCUAACUACGUG